ACCGACGCAGAGAAGCAGAGAUGGGAAGUUCCGUACGAUCUGUUGCCCAGAGAGAAGCCUCUACCAUUGAGACAGGCCAUUGGAAGAUCAAGGAAAACUCUAUCAACACCUACUGACUACCCGGGUUCUGAGCUCAUAUUCAGCUACACUACAGACCCAUUUGGGUUUGCAGUGAGAAGAAAAUCCACCGGCGAAACCCUUUUCAAUACGACUUCCGAUGACUCAGACCGGUAUGGUAAUAUGGUGUUUAAGGACCAGUACCUCGAAAUUUCCACCAAAU
This 280-nucleotide long non-coding RNA is filed under the name Vitis vinifera (wine grape). RNAcentral's name for it is "long non-coding RNA (VVIN_LNC000052)". The record is from RNAcentral. Lineage: Eukaryota; Viridiplantae; Streptophyta; Magnoliopsida; Vitales; Vitaceae.